RNAcentral lists this ribosomal RNA (594 nucleotides) under Trichoderma koningiopsis. Its description in RNAcentral is "eukaryotic LSU rRNA". The stretch from base 219 to 372 matches the Rfam family "5.8S ribosomal RNA". Lineage: Eukaryota; Fungi; Ascomycota; Sordariomycetes; Hypocreales; Hypocreaceae. The record is from RNAcentral.
AAAGGUCUCGUUGGUGACCAGCGGAGGGUCAUUACCGAGUUUACAACUCCCAAACCCAAUGUGAACCAUACCAAACUGUUGCCUCGGCGGGGUCACGCCCCGGGUGCGUCGCAGCCCCGGAACCAGGCGCCCGCCGGAGGGACCAACCAAACUCUUUCUGUAGUCCCCUCGCGGACGUUAUUUCUUACAGCUCUGAGCAAAAAUUCAAAAUGAAUCAAAACUUUCAACAACGGAUCUCUUGGUUCUGGCAUCGAUGAAGAACGCAGCGAAAUGCGAUAAGUAAUGUGAAUUGCAGAAUUCAGUGAAUCAUCGAAUCUUUGAACGCACAUUGCGCCCGCCAGUAUUCUGGCGGGCAUGCCUGUCCGAGCGUCAUUUCAACCCUCGAACCCCUCCGGGGGGUCGGCGUUGGGGAUCGGGAACCCCUAAGACGGGAUCCCGGCCCCGAAAUACAGUGGCGGUCUCGCCGCAGCCUCUCCUGCGCAGUAGUUUGCACAACUCGCACCGGGAGCGCGGCGCGUCCACGUCCGUAAAACACCCAACUUCUGAAAUGUUGACCUCGGAUCAGGUAGGAAUACCCGCUGAACUUAAGCAUAC